Molecule: long non-coding RNA, 578 nt
Organism: Anopheles stephensi (Asian malaria mosquito)
Lineage: Eukaryota; Metazoa; Arthropoda; Insecta; Diptera; Culicidae
Exons: 3
Source: RefSeq, a predicted model, not a curated record
CCAUUCGUCCCGUGACCAUUCGUACCGUGAUGUAGGCAGUGAGUUGUCAACCAUGGUAAUUACCCAGGAUACACAGUAUCUGAUACCUCAGGCUGGAUUUUAAGCGAUCCGUACACCAGCAUUCGGGUGAGUAGACAGAGACCAAAUGAAUGUUAUUUCCGAUGCCGCCGAUUCUUAGCUUUAGGAUUUGUUUUGCAAUGGUUGCAGGUUUAAUCCGAGUUUCUCUCUCUUUUUUUCUAUUUGUAUCUUCAAAAUAACGGAGGCUAUGUCCCUAAUCCUGAAAUCUUUUGGCGGAAUCCCCGUAUAUAAUGUAAACGUUCUACCGAAGCUUCAGUGUUGCGCUGGCAAUAGAAAGUGUUUACUAGACACCAAACUCCCAAAUUCGUCGUGUCAUGCAUGGACUUGUGAUGUUAAAGGCAACGUUGGCAAUGAUCCUUACAUAGUGUGGGUCAGAAAUGGUUCUUUUGGAAGUGACAAUGAUGAAACCAGAAACUGUAACCGUAUGUUCCUGUCAGUAGUUCUUUGCUACGUUUCUUCGUAGCAGCUGGCUUUCAUGUACUUCCUCUUCAGACUAUUAU